UACGUAGGGCGCGAGCGUUAAUCGGAAUUACUGGGCGUAAAGCGUGCGCAGGCGGUCUGUUAAGACCGAUGUGAAAUCCCCGGGCUUAACCUGGGAACUGCAUUGGUGACUGGCAGGCUUUGAGUGUGGCAGAGGGAGGUAGAAUUCCACGUGUAGCAGUGAAAUGCGUAGAGAUGUGGAGGAAUACCGAUGGCGAAGGCAGCCUCCUGGGCCAACACUGACGCUCAUGCACGAAAGCGUGGGGAGCAAACAGG
RNAcentral lists this ribosomal RNA (254 nucleotides) under uncultured bacterium. RNAcentral's name for it is "partial 16S ribosomal RNA". It matches the Rfam family "Bacterial small subunit ribosomal RNA", at positions 524 to 776 of the family's 1533-position model. The record is from RNAcentral.